AUGAACGCUGGCGGCAUGCUUAACACCUGCAAGUCGAACGGGAAGUGGUGUUUCCAGUGGCGAACGGGUGAGUAACGCGUAAGAACCUGCCCUUGGGAGGGGAACAACAACUGGAAACGGUUGCUAAUACCCCGUAGGCUGAGGAGCAAAAGGAGAAAUCCGCCCAAGGAGGGGCUCGCGUCUGAUUAGCUAGUUGGUGAGGUAAUAGCUUACCAAGGCGAUGAUCAGUAGCUGGUCCGAGAGGAUGAUCAGCCACACUGGGACUGAGACACGGCCCAGACUCCUACGGGAGGCAGCAGUGAGGAAUUUUCCGCAAUGGGCGAAAGCCUGACGGAGCAAUGCCGCGGGGAGGUGGAAGGCCUACGGGUCGUCAACUUCUUUUCUCGGAGAAGAAACAAUGACGGUAUCUGAGGAAUAAGCAUCGGCUAACUCUGUG
RNAcentral lists this ribosomal RNA (436 nucleotides) under uncultured bacterium. RNAcentral's name for it is "partial 16S ribosomal RNA". It matches the Rfam family "Bacterial small subunit ribosomal RNA", at positions 29 to 507 of the family's 1533-position model. The record is from RNAcentral.